AAAUUGAAGAGUUUGAUCAUGGCUCAGAUUGAACGCUGGCGGCAGGCCUAACACAUGCAAGUCGAACGGUAACAGGAAGCAGCUUGCUGCUUCGCUGACGAGUGGCGGACGGGUGAGUAAUGUCUGGGAAACUGCCUGAUGGAGGGGGAUAACUACUGGAAACGGUAGCUAAUACCGCAUAAUGUCGCAAGACCAAAGAGGGGGACCUUCGGGCCUCUUGCCAUCGGAUGUGCCCAGAUGGGAUUAGCUAGUAGGUGGGGUAACGGCUCACCUAGGCGACGAUCCCUAGCUGGUCUGAGAGGAUGACCAGCCACACUGGAACUGAGACACGGUCCAGACUCCUACGGGAGGCAGCAGUGGGGAAUAUUGCACAAUGGGCGCAAGCCUGAUGCAGCCAUGCCGCGUGUAUG
RNAcentral lists this ribosomal RNA (410 nucleotides) under Shigella sonnei. RNAcentral describes it as "bacterial SSU rRNA". It matches the Rfam family "Bacterial small subunit ribosomal RNA", at positions 1 to 407 of the family's 1533-position model. The record is from RNAcentral. Lineage: Bacteria; Pseudomonadati; Pseudomonadota; Gammaproteobacteria; Enterobacterales; Enterobacteriaceae.